GAUGAACGCUGGCGGCGUGCCUCAUACAUGCAAGUCGAGCGAACAGACGAGGAGCUUGCUCCUCUGACGUUAGCGGCGGACGGGUGAGUAACACGUGGAUAACCUACCUAUAAGACUGGGAUCACUUCGGGACACCGGAGCUAAUACCGGAUAAUAUAUUGAACCGCAUGGUUCAAUAGUGAAAGACGGUAUUGCUGUCACUUAUAGAUGGAUCCGCGCCGCAUUAGCUAGUUGGUAAGGUAACGGCUUACCAAGGCAACGAUGCGUAGCCGACCUGAGAGGGUGAUCGGCCACACUGGAGCUGAGACACGGUCCAGACUCCUACGGGAGGCAGCAGUAGGGAAUCUUCCGCAAUGGGCGAAAGCUUGACGGAGCAACGCCGCGUGAGUGAUGAAGGUCUUCGGUUCGUAAAACUCUGUUAUUAGGGAAGAACAAAUGUGUAAGUAACUAUGCACGUCUUGACGGUACCUAAUCAGAAAGCCACGGCUAACUACGUG
This 497-nucleotide ribosomal RNA is filed under the name uncultured bacterium. RNAcentral's name for it is "partial 16S ribosomal RNA". It matches the Rfam family "Bacterial small subunit ribosomal RNA", at positions 28 to 507 of the family's 1533-position model. The record is from RNAcentral.